UAAGACAGAGGUGCCAAGCGUUAGGCGGAAUCACUGGGCUUAAAGCGUGUGUAGGCGGAUGGCUAAGUGUCUUGUGAAAUCCCACAGCUCAACUGUGGAACUGCUCGACAUACUGGUCAUCUUGAGCAACCUAGGGGCGAGCGGAACAAGUGGUGGAGCGGUGAAAUGCGUAGAUAUCACUUGGAACGCCAAUGGUGAAAACAGCUCGCUGGGGGUUUGCUGACGCUGAGACACGAAAGCCAGGGGAGCAAACGGGAUUAGAUACCCCGGUAGUCCUGGCCGUAAACGAUGUCGACUAGAUCGUGGUGCCUCUGACGGUAUCAUGGUCGAAGCAAAAGUGCUAAGUCGACCGCCUGGGAAGUACGGUCGCAAGGCUA
Molecule: ribosomal RNA, 377 nt
Filed under: uncultured bacterium
Lineage: Bacteria
Description: bacterial SSU rRNA
Rfam family: Bacterial small subunit ribosomal RNA
Source: RNAcentral